RNAcentral lists this ribosomal RNA (515 nucleotides) under uncultured bacterium. RNAcentral describes it as "bacterial SSU rRNA". It matches the Rfam family "Bacterial small subunit ribosomal RNA", at positions 100 to 646 of the family's 1533-position model. The record is from RNAcentral.
GCACGGGUGAGUAACACGUGAAUCAUCUACCUCCGAGUGGGGAAUAACUGAGAGAAAUCUUAGCUAAUACCGAUAACACUUACGAGUCAAGCAGCAAUGCGCUUGGAGAGGAGUUCGCGGAGAUUAGUUAGUUGGCGGGGUAAUGGCCCACCAAGACGAUGAUCUGUAUUCCGGCCUGAAGGGCGCCACGGACCCCUGAACUGAAACACGGUCCCAGACUCCUACGGGAGGCAGCAGUUGGGGAAUUUUGCGCCAAUGGGGGAAACCCUGACGCAGCAACGCCGCGUUGGAGGAUGAAAUCCCUUGGGAUGUAAACUCCUUUCGAUAGGGAAGAUAAUGACGGUACCUAUAGAAGAAGCCCCGGCUAACUUCGUGCCAGCAGCCGCGGUAAUACGAGGGGGGCAAGCGUUGUUCGGAAUUAUUGGGCGUAAAGGGUGCGUAGGCGGUUUGACAAGUUCUUAUGUGAAAUCUUCGGGCUCAACCCGAAGUCUGCAUGGGAAACUGUCGGGCUUGAG